UACGGGGGGGGCAAGCGUUGUUCGGAAUUCCUGGGCGUAAAGGGCUCGUCGGCGGCCACCUCAGUCGGACGUGAAAUCCCUCGGCUUAACCGGGGAAUGGCGUCCGAUACUGGAUGGCUUGAGUUUGGGAGAGGGAUGCGGAAUUCCAGGUGUAGCGGUGAAAUGCGUAGAUAUCGGAAGGAACACCUGUGGCGAAAGCGGCUCACUGGACCACAACUGACGCUGAUGCACGAAAGCUAGGGGAGCAAACAGG
Molecule: ribosomal RNA, 253 nt
Filed under: uncultured bacterium
Lineage: Bacteria
Description: partial 16S ribosomal RNA
Rfam family: Bacterial small subunit ribosomal RNA
Source: RNAcentral